GAUGAACGCUAGCUACAGGCUUAACACAUGCAAGUCGAGGGGAAACGGCAUCGAAAGCUUGCUUUUGAUGGGCGUCGACCGGUGCACGGGUGAGUAACGCGUAUCCAACCUGCCCAUCACUUGGGAAUAACCUUGCGAAAGUAAGACUAAUGCCCAAUGACAUCCCACGAAGGCAUCCGAAUGGGAUUAAAGAUUUAUCGGUGAUGGAUGGGGGUGCGUCUGAUUAGCUUGUUGGCGGGGUGACGGCCCACCAAGGCAACGAUCAGUAGGGGUUCUGAGAGGAAGGUCCCCCACAUUGGAACUGAGACACGGUCCAAACUCCUACGGGAGGCAGCAGUGAGGAAUAUUGGUCAAUGGGCGAGAGCCUGAACCAGCCAAGUAGCGUGCAGGAUGACGGCCCUAUGGGUUGUAACCUGCUUUUAUAAGGGAAUAAAGUGGGUCACGUGUGACUUUUUGCAUGUACCUUAUGAAUAAGGACCGGCUAAUUCCGUG
This 492-nucleotide ribosomal RNA is filed under the name uncultured bacterium. Its description in RNAcentral is "partial 16S ribosomal RNA". It matches the Rfam family "Bacterial small subunit ribosomal RNA", at positions 28 to 507 of the family's 1533-position model. The record is from RNAcentral.